GCCUCUAUGGUCUAGUGGUAUGAUAUGUCACUUGUAAUGACAGGGUCCCCAGUUCAAACCUGGGUGGAGGCA
RNAcentral lists this transfer RNA (72 nucleotides) under Penicillium steckii. It matches the Rfam family "tRNA". From Rfam's summary of the family: Transfer RNA (tRNA) molecules are approximately 80 nucleotides in length. Their secondary structure includes four short double-helical elements and three loops (D, anti-codon, and T loops). The record is from Rfam by way of RNAcentral. Lineage: Eukaryota; Fungi; Ascomycota; Eurotiomycetes; Eurotiales; Aspergillaceae.